GUUAGGAAUAUUGGACAAUGGGCGCAAGCCUGAUCCAGCCAUGCCGCGUGAGUGAUGAAGGCCUUCGGGUUGUAAAGCUCUUUAGUCCACGAAUAUAAUGACUGUAGUGGAAGAAUAAGCCCCGGCUAACUUCGUGCCAGCAGCCGCGGUAAUACGAAGGGGGCGAGCGUUAUUCGGAAUCACUGGGCGUAAAGCGUGCGUAGGCUGUUUUGUAAGUCAGAAGUGAAAGCCCAGGGCUUAACCCUGGAAUUGCUUUUGAAACUACAAGACUCGAAUUCGGGAGAGGAUAGCGGAAUUGUCAGUGUAGCAGUGAAAUGCGUAGAUAUUGACAGGAACGCCAGUGGCGCAAGCGGCUAUCUGGACCGAUAUUGACGCUGAGGCACGAAAGCGUGGGGAGCAAACAGGAUUAGAAACCCGGGUAGUCC
This 425-nucleotide ribosomal RNA is filed under the name uncultured bacterium. RNAcentral's name for it is "partial 16S ribosomal RNA". It matches the Rfam family "Bacterial small subunit ribosomal RNA", at positions 354 to 796 of the family's 1533-position model. The record is from RNAcentral.